This 447-nucleotide ribosomal RNA is filed under the name uncultured bacterium. RNAcentral's name for it is "bacterial SSU rRNA". It matches the Rfam family "Bacterial small subunit ribosomal RNA", at positions 330 to 793 of the family's 1533-position model. The record is from RNAcentral.
CUGUGACUCCUACGGGAGGCAGCAGUGGGGAAUAUUGCACAAUGGGCGCAAGCCUGAUGCAGCAACGCCGUGUGAGUGAAGAAGGUUUUCGGAUCGUAAAACUCUGUCCUAAGGGAAGAAACAAAUGACGGUACCUUAGGAGGAAGCCCCGGCUAACUACGUGCCAGCAGCCGCGGUAAUACGUAGGGGGCAAGCGUUAUCCGGAAUCACUGGGCGUAAAGGGUGCGUAGGCGGCUUAGCAAGCCAGGGGUGAAAGGCAUUGGCUCAACCAAUGUAAGCCUUUGGAACUGUUAAGCUUGAGUGCAGGAGAGGUAAGUGGAAUUCCUAGUGUAGAGGUGAAAUUCGUAGAUAUUAGGAGGAACACCAGUGGCGAAGGCGACUUACUGGACUGUAACUGACGCUGAUGCACGAAAGCGUGGGUAGCGAACAGGAUUAGAUACCCUGUAG